CUUCUCCUUCAAUAAGGUUUUAUAAUUGGGCCGAAAUAAAAAGAAAGAUCCCAAGCCCAAUAAAUUAAAAUUCAGCCCUAUGUAAUUCUUGUUUUGUGAUUGUUG
Arachis ipaensis is the source of this 105-nucleotide non-coding RNA. Lineage: Eukaryota; Viridiplantae; Streptophyta; Magnoliopsida; Fabales; Fabaceae. The record is from RefSeq and is a predicted model, not a curated record.